Molecule: ribosomal RNA, 207 nt
Filed under: uncultured Peptococcaceae bacterium
Lineage: Bacteria; Bacillati; Bacillota; Clostridia; Eubacteriales; Peptococcaceae
Description: partial 16S ribosomal RNA
Rfam family: Bacterial small subunit ribosomal RNA
Source: RNAcentral
CGCGUAGGCGGCCUAAUAAGUUAGAAGUGAAACCUAUCGGCUCAACUGAUAGCCUGCUUCUAAAACUGCUAAGCUUGAGUGCAGAAGAGGGGAGUGGAAUUCCCAGUGUAGCGGUGAAAUGCGUAGAUAUUGGGAGGAACACCAGUGGCGAAAGCGGCUCCCUGGUCUGUAACUGACGCUGAGGCGCGAAAGCGUGGGUAGCAAACA